Molecule: long non-coding RNA, 266 nt
Organism: Polyodon spathula (Mississippi paddlefish)
Lineage: Eukaryota; Metazoa; Chordata; Actinopteri; Acipenseriformes; Polyodontidae
Exons: 3
Source: RefSeq, a predicted model, not a curated record
GCCCGGAGAGCUGCAGGCACAAAGGAGAGGACGCAGGACCAUUAAGAUCAACAGGAUCGAGAAAACUUCCCUUACAAACAGCAAAGCAGACCCCUAUUUCUUAAAGUCAUAGACUGUGGCCCCAGUGGCUGGAUUGUGCUGUUGAGGAUCCUACUGGCUCUCACAGAGAAGAUGGCUGGAACACGCAGCUGGAGCCGGAGCCUCUCCUUUGAAGAUGCCUGCAAAUUAAUAUUUCAAAAUGUCAUCAACCCUAAAAUAAAAUAUUG